Molecule: ribosomal RNA, 547 nt
Filed under: uncultured Gammaproteobacteria bacterium
Lineage: Bacteria; Pseudomonadati; Pseudomonadota; Gammaproteobacteria
Description: bacterial SSU rRNA
Rfam family: Bacterial small subunit ribosomal RNA
Source: RNAcentral
CACGGGGGGCCUACGGGAGGCAGCAGUGGGGAAUAUUGCACAAUGGGCGCAAGCCUGAUGCAGCCAUGCCGCGUGUGUGAAGAAGGCCUUAGGGUUGUAAAGCACUUUCAGUCGUGAGGAAAGGUGUGUAGUUAAUAACUGCAUACUGUGACGUUAGCGACAGAAGAAGGACCGGCUAACUCCGUGCCAGCAGCCGCGGUAAUACGGAGGGUCCGAGCGUUAAUCGGAAUUACUGGGCGUAAAGCGCGCGUAGGUGGAUUGGUCAGUCAGAUGUGAAAGCCCUGGGCUCAACCUGGGAACUGCACCUGAUACUGCCAGUCUAGAAUACGGUAGAGGGUAGUGGAAUUUCCUGUGUAGCGGUGAAAUGCGUAGAUAUAGGAAGGAACACCAGUGGCGAAGGCGACUACCUGGACCGAUAUUGACACUGAGGUGCGAAAGCGUGGGGAGCAAACAGGAUUAGAUACCCUGGUAGUCCACGCCGUAAACGAUGUCUACUAGUUGUUGGAAGACUUGAUCUUUUAGUAACGAAGCUAACGCGAUAAGUAGA